This 449-nucleotide ribosomal RNA is filed under the name uncultured bacterium. RNAcentral describes it as "partial 16S ribosomal RNA". It matches the Rfam family "Bacterial small subunit ribosomal RNA", at positions 29 to 523 of the family's 1533-position model. The record is from RNAcentral.
AGUGAACGCUGGCGGCAUGCCAAACACAUGCAAGUCGAACGAGAUCUUCGGGUCUAGUGGCGCACGGGUGCGUAACGCGUGGGAAUCUGCCCUUUGGUUCGGAAUAACAGUUGGAAACGACUGCUAAUACCGGAUGAUGACGAAAGUCCAAAGAUUUAUCGCCAGAGGAUGAGCCCGCGUAGGAUUAGCUAGUUGGUGUGGUAAAGGCGCACCAAGGCGACGAUCCUUAGCUGGUCUGAGAGGAUGAUCAGCCACACUGGGACUGAGACACGGCCCAGACUCCUACGGGAGGCAGCAGUGGGGAAUAUUGGACAAUGGGCGAAAGCCUGAUCCAGCAAUGCCGCGUGAGUGAUGAAGGCCUUAGGGUUGUAAAGCUCUCUUACCCGGGAUGAUAAUGACAGUACCGGGAGAAUAAGCUCCGGCUAACUCCGUGCCAGCCGCCGCCGUAA